UAGCUUAAUGGUAAAGCAUCCAACUAGCAAUUGGGGGAUCUGGGUUCAAGUCCCGG
Molecule: non-coding RNA, 56 nt
Organism: Strigamia maritima
Lineage: Eukaryota; Metazoa; Arthropoda; Chilopoda; Geophilomorpha; Linotaeniidae
Source: Rfam